UACGAAGGGGGCUAGCGUUGCUCGGAAUGACUGGGCGUAAAGGGCGCGUAGGCGGACUGCACAGUCAGGCGUGAGAUUCCUGGGCUUAACCUGGGGACUGCGUCUGAGACGUGUGAUCUAGAGUGAGGAAGAGGGUCGUGUAAUUUCCAGUGUAGAGGUGAAAUUCGUAGAUAUUGGAAAGAACACCGGUGGCGAAGGCGGCGUCCUGGUCCUUGACUGACGCUGAGGCGCGAAAGCGUGGGGAGCUAACAGG
This 253-nucleotide ribosomal RNA is filed under the name uncultured bacterium. RNAcentral's name for it is "partial 16S ribosomal RNA". It matches the Rfam family "Bacterial small subunit ribosomal RNA", at positions 524 to 776 of the family's 1533-position model. The record is from RNAcentral.